CUGCUCAAUGAUUUUUUAAAUUGCUGUGGUAUUUUGACUAUACAAAGGUAUUGUAAUAAGAUUYUAAUUGAAUGCUAAGAGAAUGGAAUUACAAAGAAUAACUAUUUUAAACUUAAAAAUUAAAUUUAUUUUAAUUUGUGAAGAAACAAUUAUAUAAAUUAAGGACAAGAAGACCCUAAGAAUUUUAAAAAUAGUAAUUUUUAGUUUCAAAGAAUGCUAUUUUUUAGUUGGGGCAACUAAGAAAUAUUAUAAACUUUUUUAAAAUAAAAUGAUCCAUUAUUAAUGAUUAUCUGAAAAAAUACUCUAGGGAUAACAGCGUAAUAAUUUUUGAUAGAACAUAUAGACAAAAUAGUUUGCGACCUCGAUGUUGGAUUAGGAUACUUUUUUAAUGAAGAUGUUAAAAAAAGAAGUUUGUUCAACUUUUAAAGUCCUACUUGAUCUGAGUUCAGACCGG
This 454-nucleotide ribosomal RNA is filed under the name Dermacentor hunteri. RNAcentral describes it as "partial 16S ribosomal RNA". The stretch from base 309 to 454 matches the Rfam family "Bacterial large subunit ribosomal RNA", at positions 2473 to 2619 of the family's 2925-position model. The record is from RNAcentral. Lineage: Eukaryota; Metazoa; Arthropoda; Arachnida; Ixodida; Ixodidae.